CCAUCAUCACUACGUGGGACUUGAGUUAACUCUGUUUGGAUGCUGGGUUCAAAAUAAAAUGAGCAGAAUUAUGUAGAAAUUUUAUGUAUGAUGUAUACCUCACAAAUUAAACCCUCGGUAUGAGGCUUAUUCCGCACAUUCUUUUUCAAAUCAUGCAUAUACCUAAUUUAUAUAAACACCAUUAAAAAAUUAACAUAUGACAACUUAGCAUGCUUAGAGUUAAAUUAAAAGCUUAUAAAAAUUUAGGAGACUUACGUCUCAAAAGAAUACAUCCAAUGAUAUUGCACGGGCCCAUCAACUUUUGUCUCAUAGGUUAGGUG
Molecule: long non-coding RNA, 320 nt
Filed under: Elaeis guineensis (African oil palm)
Lineage: Eukaryota; Viridiplantae; Streptophyta; Magnoliopsida; Arecales; Arecaceae
Description: long non-coding RNA (EGUI_LNC072775)
Source: RNAcentral